Anguilla anguilla (European eel) is the source of this 893-nucleotide long non-coding RNA. RefSeq lists it as uncharacterized. NCBI's taxonomy places the organism in Eukaryota, Metazoa, Chordata, Actinopteri, Anguilliformes, Anguillidae. The transcript has 3 exons. The record is from RefSeq and is a predicted model, not a curated record.
CUCUGUUGCGCAUCAAUGCUGGAGGAGAUUUAGGCGACAGUUUAACGGUCAAGAUGCAGAAGAAAAUCUCGUCAUUCUUUUAAAAAAAGACAGAAAACCCCAGCCCUGUCCUCAGUCAGGAGGUUGAUAGUGCAAGAGGGAAAGCCUACCUGUUUCCAAAGGGAAAGCCCACCUGUCUCCUGCGAUGGAAAGCUCACCUGUCUCCACAGGGAAAGCCCACCUGUCUCUACAAGGAAAGCCCACCUGUCUCUACAGGAGAAGCCCACCUGUCUCUACAGGGAAAGCCCACCUGUCUUCACAGGGAAAGCCCACCUGUCUCAGCAGGGAAAGCCCACCUGUCUCUGCAAGGAAAGCCCAUCUGUCUCUGCAGGGAAAGCCCAGUCCUGUCUCUGUAGGGGAGUGCCUGUUUCUGCUCUCUCUCUGUAUGUCACCUGACUGGCUCCAGAGAAAAAGUGAAUGUAAAAAUCCCUCCAUAGGGCCUCAACAGCAGGUCCCUCGUCAAAGCCAUCUCAGAGCCGCUCUACCAACUGCUGUAAAGGGUGAAACAGUGCUGCUAUUAUUAGUCACACUGAAUUAUACAACCCCUCUAGUUCUCAUAUUUAUUUCCUCAAUGAAAUGAUCUCUAUGAUCUCACAAUGUCUCACUGGUCAAAGGUGUAUUUACAAAGCUGUCCUUGUGAGAUUAAUCAUUCAUAGGGAUUUUUUUGUUUCUAGACUAUCUCUGGAGGAUUAAGGAGCUUGAGUGACGGUAGAGACAGAGAAGGUAAUAAUCUGACCUCAAUCUGAACCUGUAAGGAAUUCUAUAAAAAUGAAAUGGGAUAUUUUAUUAGCGUUGAUUACAUUAGCGUGUACAGUGCUGUGAACUUUUUCCCCCCUUGCUGAUUUCCUCUAUUA